CCUCGUAUUUCGUUAUUGCCAUCGGUGCUUUCCUCGCUGCACUUUUCUGCUGUUGUUGCGUGAGGUGCUGCUGCUGUGGGAACAGCUCCUCCGAAAAGGACGGCUAUGAGACCGCUGCUGUUGAGCCUGCUGUGCGUUUCCAUGAGCCAAAUUGCAGUAUGACCAUGAGCCUGUUGUCCCGAGGCCAGAGCAACUCAGUCAGCCCCGUGGGACACACUACCCUGCUCAGCUGCCUUAUGCUCCGACUUGCCCACUGGUUUCAGCUGACGGUCCAGCCUUCCCUGUCUGUUCUGACCCUGAGGUGCGGUUUGAGCUGGACGGGAUGGCCGUACCCUCGGCUUCCCCACUCACUUCAGACUGAACUUACUGUGAUGUUUAUACCUCAGACAAACUCAACUCCCUCUGAAAUUCUUGAUUUUUGAAAGGCACACUCAAAUUUGUAAACCCAAUCACUAGUGUGACAUUAAAAGAAUAGUUUGACAUUUUGGGCUUUAACUGGUUGCUGAGGGAAACUACAGGUAUUCCUUUCCAGAAACAGAGAUCACUUUAACUCUGAGUCAGUUACCGCGAUAACUUACUCUGUUAAUCUAACCUGCUCGCUGGCAGGUUUUCUUCAACAAAGAUUCUCUUUUUUCCCCUGCCGAGCCUAAACAAGCUUCAUUUCUUCAUUCAAACGAUUGAAAUCAAAGUGCAUAUUGGAGCACCUUAAUUUGCAGAAGUUUACACCUGGAGAAGACGAUCAUUAGUUUGUUACCCAAGACCCAUCUUUACUAACGUUACCUCUUUUAUGAUCCAUCAGUCAUCACUGUAAGGACAGAGACAGUGAUCUCUGUCCUUACAUUCAAAUAUUACACAUCGUGGACUCAUCAUCAAUUCAGAAUAAAAUCUAUACACUGUCUGUCUAUAUAACACUGUGAUUCUGUGGACAUUAAAGACGACGGCCAGGUUGUCAAUUAGUUCCCUGCACUGAAACAUUUACGAAGCAUUAAUCACUGUAAAUUAAAAAAAAAUCUGUGUGAAGCUUUAGACGCAUGAGAGAAUGAUCAAUGAAUAAUCACUUCUCAAGGUGUGAAUGGCCGCACUGAUCAAAAACUCCUAUUAUAGUCACGAAAUUGUAGAUUAUGUGAUAUUUCUGAGAGAGGAUGAUAGUAGUGCAGCUGAAAAACUGGGCUAAAUGUAGUUUAAA
Long non-coding RNA from Xiphias gladius (swordfish), 1186 nucleotides. RefSeq lists it as uncharacterized. NCBI's taxonomy places the organism in Eukaryota, Metazoa, Chordata, Actinopteri, Istiophoriformes, Xiphiidae. The record is from RefSeq and is a predicted model, not a curated record. The transcript has 3 exons.